Molecule: ribosomal RNA, 468 nt
Filed under: uncultured bacterium
Lineage: Bacteria
Description: partial 16S ribosomal RNA
Rfam family: Bacterial small subunit ribosomal RNA
Source: RNAcentral
GACGAACGCUGGCGGCGUGCUUAACACAUGCAAGUCGAACGGAAAGGCCCUGCUUUUGUGGGGUGCUCGAGUGGCGAACGGGUGAGUAACACGUGAGUAACCUGCCCUUGACUUUGGGAUAACUUCAGGAAACUGGGGCUAAUACCGGAUAGGAGCUCCUGCUGCAUGGUGGGGGUUGGAAAGGUUCGGCGGUUGGGGAUGGACUCGCGGCUUAUCAGCUUGUUGGUGGGGUAGUGGCUUACCAAGGCUUUGACGGGUAGCCGGCCUGAGAGGGUGGCCGGCCACAUUGGGACUGAGAUACGGCCCAGACUCCUACGGGAGGCAGCAGUGGGGAAUAUUGCACAAUGGGCGGAAGCCUGAUGCAGCAACGCCGCGUGCGGGAUGACGGCCUUCGGGUUGUAAACCGCUUUCGCCUGUGACGAAGCGUGAGUGACGGUAAUGGGUAAAGAAGCACCGGCUAACUACGUG